GACGAACCGUCCUAACGUUGUUCGGAAUCACUGGGCUUAAGGGCGCGUAGGCGGCCCUGUAAGUCGGGGGUGAAAGCCCACGGCCCAACCGUGGAAGUGCCUCCGAUACUGCGGGGCUCGAGGGAGGUAGGGGCAGCGGGAACUUCCGGUGGAGCGGUGAAAUGCGUUGAUAUCGGAAGGAACGCCGGUGGCGAAAGCGCGCUGCUGGACCUCUGCUGACGCUGAGGCGCGAAAGCCAGGGGAGCAAACGGG
RNAcentral lists this ribosomal RNA (252 nucleotides) under uncultured bacterium. RNAcentral's name for it is "partial 16S ribosomal RNA". It matches the Rfam family "Bacterial small subunit ribosomal RNA", at positions 524 to 776 of the family's 1533-position model. The record is from RNAcentral.